AAAGAAGGAAAAAAUUAAAGAAGAUAGAAGUAAGGUAUGGCCCUCGCUAGAGAAGGACCAACGCAGGUUUUGCAGAGAGAAGGGCCGUUAUAGGAGGGAUUGUGAGAAGUUGAAAAGCAGAUGGAGUUCUCCUGAUGAGGAGGGCUGACGGGCCGAGGCCCAUGGCCGCUCAACCCGGGUGAGCCCAUGGUGACUUUGGGAAUAGGGGGAACAGAGGUCCAGUUCCUCGUGGACACUGGCACGGCCCAUUCCGUCCUCAAGGCCCCUCUCGGAACCCUUUCCUCCCUGAAGUCCUCCGUUACUGGAGCCACAGGAAAAUCGGCCUCUUCUCCUUGGAGCACCGAACAAACUGUAAAUCCGGGAACAGGCACCGUCACUCUCCUCCUUAGUUAUUCCUGAGUGGCCAUGUCCGCUGCUGGGAGGAGAUGUCCUACAAAAAUUGGGGGCUGUCAUUUCCUUUGAGCCUGAGGGGGAGGGGCUUUAGAACUCAAGCCACCCCCUAUUACGGUAAGGGUUCCCCUUGAAGAUGAAUUUAAGAUGUGAAGGGGGGCACUAAACCCCCAAACAGAAAUGGGACGAUCUCCAGAAAAAGUUUCCUCGGGUAUGGGCUGAAGCAAACCCAUCAGGGUUGGCAAACACCAUGCCCCGGUGGUGGUUCAGUUGCCGGCUUUGGCCACCCGGGCCCGUGUGGGGCAGUACCCGCUCCAGCGGGAGGCCAAGGUGGGGGUCUCUAGGCACAUUCAUGACUCCAGGAAGCCGGCAUCCUGAUCCUUAUCAGUUGGCCUGGAAUACACCCCUGCUGCCCUUGAGAAGGCCCGGCACCUCAGACUUCAGACUGGUACAGGAUUUGCGGGAGGUAAACAGCCAGGCAGAGACCAUCCACCCGAUGGUACCAAACCCCUAUACACUGCUGAGUCUCAUCCUCCUGCUCGUGGAUGGGACUCGGUUUUAGAUCUUGCAGAUGCAUUUUUCAGCCUGCCCCUCGCUCCAGUGAGCCAGCCCCUCUCACCUUCGAAUGGACUGACCCAGACACAGGGACUGCUGGACAGCUGCCACGGACCCGGCUGCCACAGAGAUGCAAGAACUCCCCAAGUCUGUUUGGGGAAGCUCUUGGGCAAAGAUCUAGGAGAGGUAAGGAGAGCCUUUCCCCAAGCAACUAUUCUUUAGUAUGUAGAUGACCUCUUGGUGGCAACUUCAAAGGAGGAAGAGUGUCUUUCAGCACCCCACCCCCAGGGCCCCCUGGAAGCCCUACAAAACUGGGAUAUCGGGUGUCCUGGAGGAAAGCUUGGCUCUGCCAGACCGAGGUAACUUACUUGGGCUAUAUUCUUGAGACGGGAAAAAGAAACAAGUGCAAGAAUUCCUAGGGACAAUUGAAUAUUGCAGAAUUUGGAUUCCUGGCUUUGCUGGAAUUGCUAAACCCCGGCUCGAAGCCACAGCAGGGGGAAAUGCGCCCCUCGGAUGGACUGAGGCUUGACAGCAGGCAUUCCCAUUCCUUCAAACCGCGCUUGCAUCGGCACCAGCCCUGGCCGAACCAGGCUUGAGUAAGCCCUUCGCCUUCUUUGUAGCAGAGAAGAACGGGGUAGCCGAGGGAGUGAUGACUCGGUUUUGGGGGCCAUGGAAGAGGACAGUAGCAGCAGCAGCUGUUUUAACCCGAGAGGCUGACAAAUUGAUCUUUGGCCAAGAUUUGACUCUGAUCCCUACCCAUGCCAUGAGCCCUUAUUAAACAGCUCACCUAGCAAGUGGCUGUCUGAUGCCAGGCUGUUAGAAUAUCAAGGGCUUUUCCUGGAGCAGCCACGCAUCGAGUUGGCCACCACCGCUAGCCUCGAUCCAGCCUCAAUCCGGCUGCGCUGUUCCCCAAGUUUGACGAUCAGCUGCCCAUCCACGAUUGUCUCGAGACUCUUGAAAAUUUGCGGGGAGGGCGCCCAGAUUUGACAGACCAGGCCCUCCCUCACGUAGAGGUGACGUUCUACACUGAUGUAUGCAGUUUCGUACGGAUGGCGUGUGGUAUGCUGGGGCAGCGGUGGUCAGCCAAGACCAACAGGUGGUGGGGUGGGAGCAGGGAUUACCCCAACGAACAUCAGCACAGGGCUGGACUGAUUGCUUUGACUAGAGCUUUAGAGUUGGGAAAAGGAGAAAGAAUAAACACAUUCACUGACAGCCAUUAAGCUUUUGCCAAUGCCCAUGUACAUGAGAUUUAUCAAAAUAAAGGGCUCUUGACAUCCGAAGGAAAGGAAAUGGAUGACAAAACUGAGAUAUUGGCAUUGCUGCAAGCCGUUUGCAUGCCUAGAAAGGUCGCCAUCAUCCAUUGCCGCAGGUAUCAAAAGGGGUCUAGCCCUGAGGUGACUGGAAAUAAUGCUGCUGGUCAGGCAGCAAAACAAGCUGCCCCCAAAUCAGUGGGGAAGCAAUUGGUUUUGCUGCUCAUGCCAGUACUUCCGGAAAAACCUGAAAACCCAGAUAAAGAGGUAGCAGAAAUGAACAAGCAGCACUGGACCCGAGCAAAGCGUGGAUGGUGGACAGCUGACGAUGGAGGGUGGUUCUCGCGCUGCUGUGGCUGACACGUUGCGUGAGCUCCAGGAAGCCCCCAUUUCGGUGGUGAGGAGAGUGAUGGCUGCCCUGCAGCCGCAUUUCGUCAGCAAAGGACUGGCCCCAAAAGCCCAGGUUACGGUGAGACGAUGCCCCGCCUGCCUCAAGGAAAAUGCAAAUCCGGUGAGGGCCCCCGGGGUCCGACACAGGACAAACUCCAGAACUUCGGGAACUGGACUUUCUGAAAUGAAGUCCGGCAUGUAUCAUGUAUAGGUCCAGAUAUUUAUUAGUUUUGUGGAUACCUUUUCAGGAUGGAUAGAAGCAAUAUCCUCCUAAAAACGAGACAGCUGAGGUGACAGACAGCUUAUGACAGAGCGGUUCCCCAUUUGGGCCUACCCUCAGCUCUGGGUCUGACGAUGGUCCAGCCUUUACGGCCAAGAUCCAAAUUAAUGUCAUGUCCUCGGGAUCAAAUGGAACUACACCGUGCCUGAGGGCCUUAAAGUUCAGGACAGGUAGAAGAGCAAAUUGAGCCUUAAAGGAGACUAAGCCUGGAGCCUGAACUAGGCUGGGUACAACUUCUCCCUGUUGCAGUCCUCCUUAAACCCCUAACAGCUGUCCAUCAGCUCCAAUCAGUUAUAUGAUAAGUUGAGAACUAUCCCUGUUCAAAUGAAAAUCCUUUGCAACCUUUAUCCUAUAAGCUGGGGGAUUUGGUUUAUAUCCACAGGUUCGACUCCAAGACCCUAGGACCAGUUCCAGUUGUCCUGUGUACCCCCUUGGCAGUGAAGGUAGCUGGACAUUCUGCCUGGAUACAUCACAAGCAUCUGAAACCAGGACCCCCACAGACGUCACAAAAGACAGAAGGAAGGUCAUCAGCCAACCAGGCGGCCAAAAGCUAAGACAAACAGCAGGAGCAGGUGUAGGGGGUUGAAUUCUCCCGUGGAAAGCUUCACUCCCUGUGUCAAUUGGAACGGCCAACCGAGGGCUGCUUUGAAUCGAGCCUCUGUCCGGCUGUAUGGGGAAGUCACCGGGCACCCCAGCCACCCCGACCACUUUCCUUAUAUAAAUAUUUGGGUCCAGCUUGUGAAGAGCCUCCGGCUGCAGUGGCCGGGAAGGAAAGGGGCUGAUACAGCCCGUAUUGGGCCUCGACCCGAGUCCCACUGGAGGAGGUGACUGUCGGCCUCCUCGGAAGGGAAGAGGCGCUCCCGGGAUUUCCUGGGUCCCGUUCCGGAACUCGGAGGCCAGCUCGCUGGUAGCAGAACAGAAGGCAGGCGAGUGAGUGAAAUCCUCUGUCUGAACGUUUGAGGGAGCCCGAAAAGGCUGGGAAGCUCGGACCUGGGCUGACGAGUGACAGAGGCCGUGUUCUGGGACGGCACCCGCGCUUUGUCUGAGUCACCGGACUAGGGAUAUCGAAUGGUCGUGGGAAAUGCUACUACUAAACCGACUGUCCUUAGAACCUUAAGCCCUGCUACUAUUUUGCCCUCGGAACCUGGCCCUCUGACCACGCCUGCCUGUGGGUCACUGACGAAUUGUUCUCCAGUCAUCCGAUCUGUAGCAAGACUUGCUGCCAGAGGCUGAUUUUAUCCUGUUCAAGGAUGGGAGCAACUUCAUGGAAAAUGGGGUACGCUAUGCUGGCUAUGCAGAGACGACU
Long non-coding RNA from Fukomys damarensis (Damara mole-rat), 4171 nucleotides. RefSeq lists it as uncharacterized. The record is from RefSeq and is a predicted model, not a curated record. Lineage: Eukaryota; Metazoa; Chordata; Mammalia; Rodentia; Bathyergidae. The transcript has 4 exons.